GUGGGCAUAGUUUAGUGGUAAAACAACAGCUUCCCAAGCUGUGGUCGUCGGUUCAAUCCCGAUUGCCCACUCCA
RNAcentral lists this transfer RNA (74 nucleotides) under Mycoplasmataceae bacterium. Its description in RNAcentral is "tRNA-Gly". It matches the Rfam family "tRNA". From Rfam's summary of the family: Transfer RNA (tRNA) molecules are approximately 80 nucleotides in length. Their secondary structure includes four short double-helical elements and three loops (D, anti-codon, and T loops). The record is from RNAcentral. Lineage: Bacteria; Bacillati; Mycoplasmatota; Mollicutes; Mycoplasmatales; Mycoplasmataceae.